ACUACACUUUAGAACUAUUUUAAAAAUAGUCACAGACUCUGAAAUGUAGAAGAGAGAAAAAGAGAGGAGAAUGCUACUGCAUCUGUCAUGUGGAAGUGAUCAUCAGCUAGAUUGUUCAAAAUGUCUUGAGUCAAGUCCGAUGUGAAGAAUGAAAUGAGAAUGCUGUUAACAUGCUUUUACAGAUUCCUUUCCAGAAUUAAAAGAUCUCUGAGAAGUAUUAAGACUGAAAAUGAAGACCAUCCUACUGAACUGAAGAAAAUAAAGCCAAUGAAUCCCAACUUCCAGGAAUGGAAGAGACCUUCAAGCUCAAGACAGGCCUCAUCCCCAAUUCCAGAAAAUACUGUGCCUCAACUUUUACCCAUAGGCCAAAGACUGUUGGUCCUCAAUGACCGAUCAGAGCAUACCAAAAGGCAUCAGGUAUGAAAUAAAACAUUUCUGUAAAGUAAGUGCCAAAAGACUCUACUUUGCUUUUUUUCUUAACUCAGUGGUUUUCAGAUGUCCUAGUGGCUCAGUCCUAAUCAGUCACGGAGAAAAGCUUUCUGAUUGCUAAAGCUAAGGCAAUCACUCUCUCCUCCUUUUUUUUUUUCACAUUUAAGGUAGAAAAACAACACGAGAGACAGAAAACAUCUUGUUCCAAGCAUUGAGAAGCCCUUGGUCUUGUUACAGCUUUAUAAUAAUUAUAACAAUAAAUCAGUCAAUAGAAUAGCAACAGAUUCGUCUUCAUAUGCUGUACAUCUUUGGGCCUGUAAAAGAGAGAGUUUAAAGCUCCUGCGAAAGGCCCGAGUUUUCUCUUUUGUUCUCCAACUGGGGUGAAAGUGGGAGUCUGUAAUAAAAAUAUGAGGUGACAGGGACAUAUUGGGCACAAUGGUGUGUAUGGGAAGUGAAACAUAUUAGCAAGGGAAGAUGCUCCUGGAUGGAGGGAAAGCCGGGAUCCUGGGAAAGAGGUGAGAUGGGAAGAACGAUCAAGAGAAUUGAGCUGAAAGUGAGGAGUGGAAAUCACAAAGACAAACCAGAGAGCCUAGGGCACCGGGCCGUCUAGCUGGUCACCUGAAGGGAAUUCUGUAGGAAUUAAAGGUGCAUCAUUGGGAAAAGGUUAACAAAAGUAUUGCAUUUAUAUCAUCUUUUAGAUUCUAUGUGUAAGAACAACCACAUCACAUGAAUUUCUUUCUGGUCAGAAACCUCCUCGAGGCUGUCAUACCUAAGAGCGUCUAUAUAAAAAGAUGCCAGAUUGCCUUCUGGUCGCAAUAUUUGCCCAUCACUGAGUUUCAGAGUUAAACUGGCAGAUUCUGUCCACUAGAGGAUGUCACCCUUACUCCAGAAACCAUGGUUAUCUCCAGAGACUUUCCAUAAGUCAAUGUCUGAUGUUUCCAGAGAGAGGUAAUCAAAUCUAACCCAAAACCUAUCAUUGAGUUUGUAUUAAG
Molecule: long non-coding RNA, 1421 nt
Organism: Diceros bicornis minor
Lineage: Eukaryota; Metazoa; Chordata; Mammalia; Perissodactyla; Rhinocerotidae
Exons: 3
Source: RefSeq, a predicted model, not a curated record